RNAcentral lists this ribosomal RNA (467 nucleotides) under uncultured bacterium. RNAcentral's name for it is "partial 16S ribosomal RNA". It matches the Rfam family "Bacterial small subunit ribosomal RNA", at positions 28 to 507 of the family's 1533-position model. The record is from RNAcentral.
GACGAACGCUGGCGGCGUGCUUAACACAUGCAAGUCGAACGGAAAGGCCCUGCUUUUGUGGGGUGCUCGAGUGGCGAACGGGUGGGUAACACGUGAGUAACCUGCCCUUGACUUUGGGAUAACUUCAGGAAACUGGGGCUAAUACCGGAUAGGAGCUCUUGCUGCAUGGUGGGGUUGGAAAGUUUCGGCGGUUGGGGAUGGACUCGCGGCUUAUCAGCUUGUUGGUGGGGUAGUGGCUUACCAAGGCUUUGACGGGUAGCCGGCCUGAGAGGGUGACCGGCCACAUUGGGACUGAGAUACGGCCCAGACUCCUACGGGAGGCAGCAGUGGGGAAUAUUGCACAAUGGGCGGAAGCCUGAUGCAGCAACGCCGCGUGCGGGAUGACGGCCUUCGGGUUGUAAACCGCUUUCGCCUGUGACGAAGCGUGAGUGACGGUAAUGGGUAAAGAAGCACCGGCUAACUACGUG